Molecule: small RNA, 27 nt
Filed under: Bombyx mori (domestic silkworm)
Lineage: Eukaryota; Metazoa; Arthropoda; Insecta; Lepidoptera; Bombycidae
Description: ovarian small RNA-32291
Source: RNAcentral
UGAGUGUUUCCGAAGAGUGGCGAUGCG